RNAcentral lists this ribosomal RNA (253 nucleotides) under uncultured bacterium. Its description in RNAcentral is "partial 16S ribosomal RNA". It matches the Rfam family "Bacterial small subunit ribosomal RNA", at positions 524 to 776 of the family's 1533-position model. The record is from RNAcentral.
UACGUAGGGUGCGAGCGUUGUCCGGAAUUACUGGGCGUAAAGCGCACGUAGGCGGCUUUGUAAGUUAGAGGUGAAAGCCCAGGGCUUAACCCUGGAAUGGCCUUUAAGACUGCAUCGCUAGAAUCGUGGAGAGGUGAGUGGAAUUCAUGGUGUAGCAGUGAAAUGCGUAGAGAUCAUGAGGAAGACCAGUGGCGAAGGCGGGUCUCUGGACAGUUCCUGACACUGAGGCACGAAGGCCAGGGGAGCAAACAGG